RNAcentral lists this ribosomal RNA (489 nucleotides) under uncultured bacterium. RNAcentral's name for it is "SSU rRNA". It matches the Rfam family "Bacterial small subunit ribosomal RNA", at positions 26 to 521 of the family's 1533-position model. The record is from RNAcentral.
AGGACGAACGCUGGCGGCGUGCCUAACACAUGCAAGUCGAACGAGGUCCAACCGGUGGCAACACUGGUGAAGACCGAGUGGCGAACGGGUGAGUAACACGUGAGCAACCUGCCUCGAAGACUGGGAUAACCCCGGGAAACCGGAGCUAAUACCGGAUACCCCCACCGGGUCGCAUGGCCUGGUGAGGAAAUGGAUUCCGCUUUGAGAGGGGCUCGCGGCCUAUCAGCUUGAUGGUGGGUAAUGGGCCGUACCAUGGCACCGACGGGUAGCUGGUCUGAGAGGACGAUCAGCCACACUGGGACUGAGACACGGCCCAGACUCCUACGGGAGGCAGCAGGUGGGGAAUCUUGCGCAAUGGGCGAAAGCCUGACGCAGCAACGCCGCGUGUGGGACGAAGGCCUUCUGGGUUGUAAACCACUUUCAGCAGGGACGAUUGUGACGGUACCUGCAGAAGAACGCCCCGGCCAACUACGCGCCAGCAGCCGCGGU